UUGCAUGAGAAUUUGAAAGCUAAAUUAUAUUAAAUUUUGACAUGUAAUGCGUUGCUAAAAAGAGAAACAUAUCUGGAAAUUUUCUUUCAUCAAAUUAACUAUUGUCCUCUCGCAGGUCCCCUAGCUUACUAAUGCUAUUCUGACUUCCAGGAAUAUUAUGAGAACCUAAAUUAAGCUUAUCAGCUAUAAUGGCACAGCUAAAAAACUGCAGGAAUUUAUUGAGAAUUUCAGUGUAAAUCAUGAGCAUCGUUUUCUUCUCAAUGUCACCAACCUUCAGUAGGGAGAGAAACUCCUCUGCUUAUUCAUGGUUCAUUGAUACAAUUAUACCAACUGAAACGAUUUUAAGCAAACAGAAUUACCCAAAUGCUGAUAACAAUUGACAUCAAAUUCAGUGAGACUUGUGCUGGAACGGGUGGGCUUUAAAUGCCUGAACUCAUCAAACUGUGAUGUCAUCAUAAAUGGUCCUGCCCAUCUAGAUGCAUCCUCCCUUAAAAUCAUCAAACCGAACAUCAAAUACAAACUUGACAUAUUACUUCCCAUGGAAGGUAUACAUGGUCGUGUGAUAUUAGAAUGGCAGAAAAUUUUUGUACAGAGAUAGCUGGAAAUGGUUUUACGAGGACAAAUGGUUCCACUAUAGUAAUUCGCUUUGAUGGAAGACCAAUUCUGGUUGAUUUAUGGAUGUCCCUUCCUGACUACGAGCUGGAGUUUAAUGGGGUCCCCAGAACUGUCCUUUCAACUAGUAAAAUGGAGGACUUGGAACUUUUCUUAGACUUCAGCAUUCCUAUUAUGAAUUCAACAGAGCAAGUCCUGAAAGCAUUUUGUUUGAAUUCUGGUAGCUUAAUAGUUAUUCAUCAUAGAUGCCAUACGAAUCUCCGGUUUAUGUUUAAACUUACAAAUAUACCAAAAACUUAAAUAAUCCCUGUUGAACUACAAGCAGGUUCUCUUAUUGGCAUAACAGGCACUCCUGCUUCACCAGUUCCUUCGCUUACAUUUCUCUAUGGUAUGUUAUUCCAGAGUUUGUGCUCUCCACAGUCCACAGUAGUUCCUGCAAUUCUUUCUAGCUGAGCAUGGAGCUAAAUGACUAGUUUUCUUCUAAGAUUCUGCCAAGCCUGGGGUAGGGCUAAGUACCAGCUCACCAAGCAUCACAAAGGAACCCAACAUCAAUGUGAUAGUGGAGUUUACAAAGCCAGUUUUUGGGUUUGAGGCUUCCAUGGUAGAUGUGGACGGAGGGAGACUUACAAGGAAGAUUUAAGGAACUCUCGAGAGCUCUAUACUCAAUGACUGUCCAGGCGUUUAGUCAGAAGGUAGUCUCCAUUUCCAUUCCUGCAGGAAAAGUCAAUGAUGUGUCAGGAAACCAAAAUUCGGCAUCCAAUACUCUUGAAGUAAAACACUCUAAGAAUAAUACAUAUUCCUGUUGUGAUGUUUCAGGAUUUUUACUUUAUGCUAAAAGCUGCAUCUUUGGAAAUUUACCAAUUGCUGUUUAACUACUUGAGACUCGGUUUAUACAGAUUCAACCCCUACUAUCAACUGCACUACACUCAUUUCUGACUGCGGGAACAUUAGUAACAUCAUUGACGGCAGUUAUUCUUUCUCUUUCCUCUACAAAUGUUGGAGCGAUGGGCAUUCUGUUCUCAGAAAGUACAAAUUUUAUGGCUUCUGACACAUCAA
RNA transcript from Pistacia vera, 1668 nucleotides. RefSeq lists it as uncharacterized. The record is from RefSeq and is a predicted model, not a curated record. The transcript is spliced from 7 exons. NCBI's taxonomy places the organism in Eukaryota, Viridiplantae, Streptophyta, Magnoliopsida, Sapindales, Anacardiaceae.